Molecule: unclassified non-coding RNA, 1521 nt
Filed under: Hevea brasiliensis (rubber tree)
Lineage: Eukaryota; Viridiplantae; Streptophyta; Magnoliopsida; Malpighiales; Euphorbiaceae
Source: RNAcentral
AAGAACCCCAAAAUCCAGACUCUCCUUUUCCUUAUAAACCACUUUAACUUCCUCUCUCCUAUCACUGAGAGUGAGAAAAUUCAGAAAAUAUGGGAGCUUAUUGCAAUGGAGAUGUCUCUUUGCAUCCCGUCAAUGGACUUUCCCCCUCUCACAAUCUCCGAUUACUCAAGCAAGUUCACGACAAUGUCCAUGGCAACAUAUAUAUGGAUCCCUUCUGUUUGAAAUUUAUGGAUACCGAGCAGUUUCAGAGGCUUCGAGAGCUCAAGCAACUAGGUGCAACCCACCUGGUUUAUCCUGGGGCUGUGCAUUCUAGGUUUGAGCAUUCUCUUGGUGUAUAUUGGCUUGCCGGUGAAGCUGUGGAAAGGCUGAAAAAUUACCAGGGUUUGGAGUUAGGUAUUGAUUACUUUGAUAUUCAGACAGUGAAGCUUGCAGGACUUCUGCAUGAUGUGGGCCAUGGUCCUUUCAGUCACUUGUUUGAACGUGAGUUUCUCCCCAGGGUUCUAAAUGGUGCAAAAUGGUCUCAUGAACAAAUGUCUGCAAAAAUGAUUGACCAUAUUGUUGACGAGCACUAUAUUGAUGUUGACUCUGAAAUGAUGAGAAGAGUUAAGGAGAUGAUACUAGCUAGCUCAGAAUUUACACAAAGAAGAGACACAAAGGAGAAGUGCUUCUUGUAUGAUAUUGUUGCAAAUGGUCGAAAUGGAAUCGAUGUGGACAAGUUUGAUUACAUUGUCCGUGAUUGUCGAGCUUGUGGUCUAGGAUGUAGUUUUGAGUUUCAGAGGUUAAUGGAGACAAUGCGAGUUAUGGGUGAUGAGAUUUGCUAUCGCGCGAAGGACUAUCUUACCAUUCACAAGUUGUUUGCCACCCGUGCUGAUCUUUAUCGCACAGUUUAUACUCAUCCAAAAGUAAAGGCAAUAGAACUUAUGAUGGUUGAUGCCUUGUUGAAAGCAAAUGAUUAUCUGCAACUGUCAUCUUACAUUCAAGAUCCUUCAGAAUAUUGGAAGUUAGAUGACACGAUAAUCAAAACUAUUGAGACAGCUCCUGAUGAACAACUAAGGGAAUCUAGGGAUUUGAUCCUGCGGAUACGCAGGAGAAAUUUGUACCAGUUUUGCAAUGAGUACGCUGUUCCUAGGGACAAGGUGGAAAAUUUCAAAGAUGUCACUGCACAGGAUAUUGUUUGUUCCCAGAAAAACGGUGGUGUGCUACUGAAGGAAGAUGAUAUUGCAGUAAGCAAUGUUAGGAUUGAUUUGACUCGUGGAAGGCAUAAUCCUCUUGAAAGCAUCAAUUUUUUCAAGGAUUAUGAAAGUGAGGAGAAAUUUUCCAUACCUGAUGAUCGCAUCAGUCACUUGCUGCCUACAUCUUAUCAAGAUAUGAUAGUGAGGGUCUACUCAAAAAAGCCUGAACUGGUAGCAGCAGUCUCUGAGGCUUUUGAAAAUUUCCAGUUGAGAACUUAUGGGAUUAAGGCACAAGUGCAUGCAACUCCAGAGAAGAAGAAACGUCGGACAUGAGGUUUUCAUUGUCUAU